GACGAACGCUGGCGGCGUGCUUAACACAUGCAAGUCGAACGGAAAGGCCCUGCUUUUGUGGGGUGCUCGAGUGGCGAACGGGUGAGUAACACGUGAGUAACCUGCCCUUGACUUUGGGAUAACUUCAGGAAACUGGGGCUAAUACCGGAUAGGAGCUCCUGCUGCAUGGUGGGGGUUGGAAAGUUUCGGUGGUUGGGGAUGGACUCGCUGCGUAUCAGCUUGUUGGUGGGGUAGUGGCUUACCAAGGCUUUGACGGGUAGCCGGCCUGGGUGGGGGACCUGACACACUAGAACUGGGAUGCGGCCCGGACUCGGACGGGAGGCAGGAGUGGGGAAUGGUGGAUAAUGGGAGGAAGCCUGAUGGAGCAACGCCGUGUGGGGGAUGACGGCAUUCGGGUGGGAAGCCGCUUUCGCUUGUGACGGGGGGUGAGUGACGGUAAUGGGUAAAGAAGCACCGGCUAACUACGUG
Molecule: ribosomal RNA, 468 nt
Filed under: uncultured bacterium
Lineage: Bacteria
Description: partial 16S ribosomal RNA
Rfam family: Bacterial small subunit ribosomal RNA
Source: RNAcentral